Molecule: long non-coding RNA, 2955 nt
Filed under: Sus scrofa (pig)
Lineage: Eukaryota; Metazoa; Chordata; Mammalia; Artiodactyla; Suidae
Description: lncRNA (ENSSSCG00030026074.1)
Source: RNAcentral
CAUAUGGAGGCUCCCAGGCCAGGGGUCAAAUCGGAGCUACAGCUGCUGGCCUACACCACAGACACAGCAACGGAGGAUCCGAGCUGCAUCUUCAACCUACACCACAACUCAUGGCAAUGCUGGAUCCUUAACUCACUGAGUGAGGCCAGGGGUUGAACCUGAGUUUUCAUGGAUGCUAGUCAGAUUCAUUUCCGCUGAGCCAUGAUGGGAACUCCCUGUUUUUUGGAUUCAAUCUGCCAAAUGAAGCAAGGACCCUUCGUGGAAGAGUUUGUCAGGCAUGUAUCACGACAGUAACACUUGUUCCCAUGUUUCAGAACUAACGGCUGGUUUUUCAACACCAUAAUAUUGAUCUGCCAUAUUAUCAUCCAAGUUCCUAUUCCAAAAUGUGUUUGGAACUUUCUUCUUAAACUAAGUCCAUUGAGUUCUUAGAGUGCAUUCAAAUUCUACUCAAAGGAAUCACUAAUCCAGAAAGUUUAUUUCUAAGAGGAGAGAUCUGGUUUCUUGCCCUGAAAAUAUCCAGAUUAAUUAAUGUAACUACUGGGAUGUACCUUGUGUAAUCGAGGCUUCCAAAAUGACAUGACACACUUCAUUAGACAAGUAUGUAUUGGGGCAGAGUCAAUGUUGGGGCUAAUGUUCCAUGUAUCUGAGAGAUUUAUUAUUUCAUCUAUAAAGAAAGCACAAUUGGGAAUCCAAAAUUCCAAAAGCAUUAAACUUUGUAGAAUUAGAGAAGAGAGAAAAACAAGGCUCUAAGGUAUCUUGUACAUAAUGAGUUCUAUGGCUUGACAGUGUUCAGCCUCAACCAUUCUGGCUAUUACAACCACUGUCACAAAAUAAUACUACCACUUCCCUCAGUAAACCCUUCUAGGAUCAACCAAAUGGCCAACCGUUCUUUCUUUCUUUCUUUUUUUGUUAACCUAAGCCCUCUUGAUUACACUCUUGACCAAGCUGACUCAGCCUAUCAAUACCCAUACCAAGCAGGCAAAUAAUCUUGAUGUUUAGCCGUCAACUUGGGCCAACCCGCAAGGGGAUUCAUGUCUGAGACGAAAAGAAAAACAAAAAUAGCAAAGGACUGGGCAUGGAUUUUGACACUUCUGAAAGACUAGAAAAUGUGAAUCACCACUUCAGUCGGUUGGCACCUGGAAGUGUUUAUCUGAUCUGCUGUUCUGCCAGCACCAUCGGUCCAGGACGAAGACAAGGGAAAAAAAAAAAAAAAAAAAAGUCAAAGUUCCGCCACAGGCAAAGCUCAUGAAAAAAACUGCCGUCCACACUUUCCGAGAGCCAUAAGGAGUACAGGAUCAGGGUUCUAAUCCUGUCUCUGCCUCUUUUACUGCCCAGGUGACCUUUGCACAUGAUCUCACCUUUCUGAACCUCAGAAUCCCUGCAUGGAAAAUGAGUCUAAUGAUCACAAUGAGAUAGCAAAGAAUUGAGAAACGUGCCUGGUACAAAGUCAUUACUCAGUAGCAAUUAUGGGAAAGAAAUUUUACAUCUUCUCUUAGAGUACCUAUCAAGCACGCAUUUUUUUUUUUUUUUUUCUCAUGUAUUGGGAACUUGCUCUGUGCCAGAUGCUUAGCUAAGCAUGGAAUUACAAAUUUGGCAAAUGCCUGGAGGAUAAAUUGGGUGGAUGGGGAGUUGCCAUAAGCAAGAGUGUAAAGAUGCAGAGGCACUGAAGAACAUAUAAGCCCCCUCUAAUGUUUAGAUAACAGAAAGCAGCUCCUAAUAAUGGAGACAGAGAAUUCCCACCUGAAUUAUCUGAGGGACUUUUCAACUAUGUCUGGAUCUGAAUCUCUCCUUGGAGAUGCUGAUUCAUUAAGUCUGGGAUGGGACAUGGACCUCCGCAAGGCAGGUAAUUUAAAAUGACAAUAGCUAAUACUAAUUAGUUUUUAAUCUACAUAUGGUAUUGUGUUAAGUGUCUUAGCUAUAUCAAAUUUAUUUGAUCACUCCCCUAUUCCCAUGAGGGAGACACCUCUCCUAGCCACAUUUUCAAGAUGAAAAGCUGCAACAGAAAAGUCAAGUGAAUUAAUGAAGAUCAUAAAGCUUGCCAAUGGUGGAAUCAGGACUCCAGCCCAUGCAGGACUUAGUUCCAGAACCCAAGUCCUCAACUUCCCUGCCAUGCUGCCCUCCAACCCUUGGAAGACAGGCCAGAUACCUAUAGGACAAACACAGAGUACAUGAGAGGGGGUGAAGAGAAAUGAGGCAGGGGAGGUUGGUGGCCUCAUAUUAGGAAAGCCUUGUUUCCAAGCUGGGGAAUCUGGCACUGAGGGCCUUCAAUCGCCAUGAAGAAUUGCAAGCCACUUGGCACACUUACACUAUCUUUUCAUCAGCCCCGAGCAGAGGCCCUGGCAUCUGACACAGGAAAAGGAGGUAUUUAAAAUGAGUGAUCCACUCAUUCAUGAUUUAGUCUUCUAUACCAACCACCACCCUGUACCAGGUGCCAUGGAUUAUAGGAAGUAUUGAAACAUAGCCCUGGCUUUUGAUGGAAAGGGGUAUUUAACCAUAUGGCAAAGAGCUUCAGAUCCCACAGCAAAAAUCAGCACAGAAUACCAGGAAGGUCCAAAGAAGAAAAUUGUCACUUGAAGAAUCUACAGACGCAUCCCAGAGGCAGGGGUGUCAGGGGCAAGGAAGUCUCCAGAGAAGAGAGAGAUGGAGCCUGUUAGUAGAAUCUAGUAGACUGUUAACAUUGAAGGUACAAGCUGCAGCGGGAGAAUGAAGUGGGGGUGGAGCAGGGGAAUCAAUGAGAAAGUGAAGAGAAGGAGUUUCUGUUGUGGAUCAGAGGGUCAAGAAACCGACUAGUAUCCAUGAGGACGCAGGAUCAAUCCCUGGCCUCACUCAGUUGGUUAAGGAUCCGGCAUUGCUGCAAGAUGUGACAUAGGUUGCAGAUGUAGCUUGGAUCUGACAUGGCUGUGGCUGUGGCUGUGGUGUAGGCCGGUAGCUGGAGCUCUGAUUCAACCCCUAGCC